RNAcentral lists this ribosomal RNA (252 nucleotides) under uncultured bacterium. Its description in RNAcentral is "partial 16S ribosomal RNA". It matches the Rfam family "Bacterial small subunit ribosomal RNA", at positions 524 to 776 of the family's 1533-position model. The record is from RNAcentral.
UACGUAGGGUGCAAGCGUUAAUCGGAAUUACUGGGCGUAAAGCGUGCGCAGGCGGUUUUGUAAGUCAGAUGUGAAAUCCCCGGGCUUAACCUGGGAACUGCGUUUGAAACUACAAGGCUAGAGUGUGGCAGAGGGGGGUGGAAUUCCACGUGUAGCAGUGAAAUGCGUAGAGAUGUGGAGGAACACCGAUGCCGAAGGCAGCCCCUGGGUUAACACUGACGCUCAGGCACGAAAGCGUGGGGAGCAAACAGG